Molecule: ribosomal RNA, 459 nt
Filed under: uncultured bacterium
Lineage: Bacteria
Description: partial 16S ribosomal RNA
Rfam family: Bacterial small subunit ribosomal RNA
Source: RNAcentral
CCUACGGGAGGCAGCAGUGAGGAAUAUUGGUCAAUGGGCGAGAGCCUGAACCAGCCAAGCCGCGUGAGGGAAGAAGGUACAGCGUAUUGUAAACCUCUUUUGUCAGGGAACAAAGGCGGGCACUAGUCCCCGGAUGAGGGUACCUGAAGAAAAAGCAUCGGCUAACUCCGUGCCAGCAGCCGCGGUAAUACGGAGGAUGCGAGCGUUAUCCGGAUUUAUUGGGUUUAAAGGGUGCGCAGGCGGCCUGUUAAGUCAGCGGUAAAAGCCCGGGGCUCAACCCCGCCGAGCCGUUGAAACUGGCGGGCUGGAGUUGGAGAGAAGUACGCGGAAUGCGCGGUGUAGCGGUGAAAUGCUUAGAUAUCGCGCAGAACCCCGAUUGCGAAGGCAGCGUACCGGCUCCACACUGACGCUGAGGCACGAAAGCGUGGGUAUCGAACAGGAUUAGAUACCCCAGUAGUC